UCAAACAACAACAACAGGGUCCAAACAACAACAACAGGGUCCAACAACAACAACAGGGUUCGACAACAACAACAACAGGGUCCAACAGGUUGAAACCUUUAUCUCAUAGUGUUGUUUACUCACCGGUUACCGGACGGAGGACCAUCCCGUACAGACACAACGACAGCAUCGUGAUUUGUUUCAGCAACGCCAUUGACUUCACUCUGUUGUACAUUUUUUUGAUUUAACUCCCAACAAAAAAACUUAAUGUAUUUAUAUGUCUUUCACGUCAGCUCAAUAAGUUGAAGUGAAAUGUCCAGUAUGGAAGAAGACAUUGAAAAGUAAAUGAUCAGUGAUGAAGACGGCGUCAGAUUGUCCUGCUAACAGCUAGCUAACGUUAGCCAACACAACGUUAGCUGAAAAUUACCUCACUAACAUUAACAAUACACUGGUAGCGUUACUACAGGUAGCUAACUAUGUUAAAAUAAACUUGUUUGGGGGGGGGGGGGACGGUCUUAUGCCUACAAAGUCCAACUUUGCCGUAUUUUUUGUCCCCCUUUUCAAGGUAACUAGCUAACGUUAGCUAGCUAGCUCCUUUGCUAACGUUAGGCAGCCUUUGAUAGCUAACCGUCCAAGCUAGCUAGCUAGCUAACGUUAGGUAUUUAUUAUAUACAAAAAGGUCCGUCAAAUCCAAAUUCCAUGUUGACUAUUCCCAUUCCAUAGGUCUUUGUCUUAACAACGUCCAUCCAUUCAGGGUUUAUUUGGUCUAUUCAGGGGUUUAGUAAAUAGGUUUUAGUCCCGUCGGGGUGGAUAGCCGUCUCUUUCUGCAUUUGGCAUUGACCGUGGAGGCUCCGGGCAGGGCAGGGCACCGGACAGCGAGGCUCCGGGCAGCGAGGCACCGGACAGCGAGGCACCGGGCAGGGCAGGGCACCGGACAGCGAGGCUCCGGGCAGGACAGGGCACCAGACAGCGAGGCUCCGGGCAGCGAGGCACCGGACAGUGAGGCGCAGAGCAGGGCAGGGCACCGGACAGCGAGGCUCCGGGCAGGACAGGGCACCAGACAGCGAGGCUCCGGGCAGGGCACCGGACAGCGAGGCUCCGGGCAGGGCAGGGCAGCAGACAGCGAGGCUCCGGGCAGGACAGGGCACCAGACAGCGAGGCUCCGGGCAGGGCACCGGACAGCGAGGCUCCGGGCAGGGCAGGGCAGCAGACAGCGAGGCUCCGGGCAGGACAGGGCACCAGACAGCGAGGCUCCGGGCAGGACGGCGGCGGCGGGGGGAAACGCCUGGUUGUGUCUCCACUAUCAGGUUUGGUGGAUUUGUUUGGGUGGAUGAUGAACUGGAAGCUCCCUAUCUGCAGACAGGGCUAACUACAACAAUACAUUCCUGCUGGAAGCUGUUGUUCAACUGUAUCGCCACCCUGUGGACAUAACUCAGUUGGUAGAGCACGGUGUUUGCAACGCCAGCAUGGUGUUUGCAACGCCAGGGUUGUGGGUUCGAUUCCCACGGGGGGCCAGUACAAAACAAAAACAAAAAAUAAUGUAUGAAAUGUAUUCACUACUGUAAGUCGCUCUGGAUAAGAGCGUCAGCUAAAUGACUAAAAUGUAAAAUGUCUUACAGACAGCAGGUCCAGAAAAACACUUCUACUGAAAUAUAUAUAUAGUUGUCCAUCAGAUGGCAAUAUGUCUGGUGAAAGACCCGCACACAGUUACAUCAACUCAUGUAACAACAUGCCAAAAACAAUAUUGGAAUAUGAGUCGCAUUUUCCUAGUGGCUUGUUUCUGCGUUUUCUUUUGAAUUUUCCCAUCAUGAUCCAGUGUUGUGAUGUGUUGAUGCAGACAAAUUAAUCCAUGCUUUUGUUACUUCUAGGCUGGACUACUGCAAUGCUCUACUUUCCGGCUACCCGGAUAAAGCACUAAAUAAACUUCAGUUAGGGCUAAAUACGGCUGCUAGAAUCCUGACUAGAACCAAUAAUAUUUGAUCAUAUUACUCCAGUGUUAGCCUCCCUACACUGGCUUCCUGUUAAGGAUGAGGCUGAUUUCAAGGUUUUACUGCUAACCUACAAAGCAUUACAUGGGCUUGCUCCUACUUAUCUUUCCGAUUUGGUCUUGCCGUACAUUUAAAAAUAUAUAUAUAUAUUUCACCUUUAUUUAACCAGGUAGGCUAGUUGAGAACAAGUCCUUUAUUUAACCAGGUAGGCUAGUUGAGAACAAGUUCUCAUUUACAACUGCGACCUGGCCAAGAUAAAGCAUAGCAAUUCGACACAUACAACAACACAGAGUUACACAUGGAGUAAAACAACACAUACAGUCAAUAAUACAGUAGGAAAAUAAGUCUAUAUACAAUGUGAGCAAAUGAGGUGAGAUAAGGGAGGUAAAGGCAAUAAAUAGGCCAUGGUGGCAAAGUAAAUACAAUAUAGCAAUUAAACACUGGAAUGGUAGAUUUGCAGUGGAAGAAAGUGCAAAGUAGAAAUAGAAAUAAUGGGGUGCAAAGGAGCAAAAUAAAUAAAUACAGUAGGGGAAGAGGUAGUUGUUUGGGCUAAAUUAUAGAUGGGCUAUGUACAGGUGCAGUGAUCUGUGAGCUGCUCUGACAGCUGGUGCUUAAAGUUAGUGAGGGAGAUAAGUGUUUCCAGUUUCAGAGAUUUUUGCAGUUCGUUCCA
Molecule: long non-coding RNA, 2637 nt
Filed under: Salmo salar (Atlantic salmon)
Lineage: Eukaryota; Metazoa; Chordata; Actinopteri; Salmoniformes; Salmonidae
Description: lncRNA (ENSSSAG00000106390.1)
Rfam family: UnaL2 LINE 3' element (bases 1528-1581)
Source: RNAcentral